CGCGUAACAUUUACCUGUGUACUCGGGCACAGGUAAAUAUGUAUUUAAAAGAGCUAUACUAAGGUAAAUAGUGCUUAAGUUUUACAUUUUAAAAAUAAGGGAUAAAAAGAGCUAUACUAAGGUAAAUAGUGCUUAAGUUUUACAUUUUAAAAAUAAGGAAUAAAAAGAGCUAUACUAAGGUAAAUAGUGCUUAAGUUUUACAUUUUAAAAAUAAGGGAUAAAAAGAGCUAUACUAAGGUAAAUAGUGCUUAAGUGUUACAUGUAUAAAAAUAUAAGGAAUAAAAAGCUUACAUUGCUGAGCCAUAAAGAUGGGGCCAUGCAAGACAGAUGAAAUAAGAUGCAGAGCCUGGUACAGACAGAAUGACGGUCAAUAACACAUUUUAAAAAACUCAAUAUGAGCAUAAGUUAAUAAUGAUAAUGCUGCUAAUGAAAUAACCAGCCCUGUACAGUCAGUGUGACUUUAUUUUUUAUCCACUAAGUGUCAAAGUGAUCACUCUUUA
Molecule: non-coding RNA, 500 nt
Organism: Xyrichtys novacula (pearly razorfish)
Lineage: Eukaryota; Metazoa; Chordata; Actinopteri; Labriformes; Labridae
Source: the annotation of a GenBank genome assembly